GAGAGAGAGAGAGAGAGACCUGAUUCUUCAAAAUUCCAUUUUUUCGUCACCAAUUUAAGGAACAGAGGUAUUUAUGGCCAAACGUUGUGCUCCAGAUAAUUCACAACAUAAAAAUGGCAAACAACCCAAAUAGGGUAAAACAUUUGAGAUGCAUGUUUUGUUCAAGAAGAAUCACAAAAAGUAACUUAUUUGGCAUACAUACACAAUGUUAUAAAAAAUGGCAUUAACAAUGUAAGAUGCAAAUAUUUUGAAUAAAAACAGAGCAGCGGAAUUUGAC
This 277-nucleotide unclassified non-coding RNA is filed under the name Hevea brasiliensis (rubber tree). The record is from RNAcentral. Lineage: Eukaryota; Viridiplantae; Streptophyta; Magnoliopsida; Malpighiales; Euphorbiaceae.